RNAcentral lists this ribosomal RNA (254 nucleotides) under uncultured bacterium. RNAcentral's name for it is "partial 16S ribosomal RNA". It matches the Rfam family "Bacterial small subunit ribosomal RNA", at positions 524 to 776 of the family's 1533-position model. The record is from RNAcentral.
UACGGGGGGAGCAAGCGUUGUUCGGAUUUACUGGGCGUAAAGGGCGCGUAGGCGGCCACCGCAAGUCAGUUGUGAAAUCUCCGGGCUUAACUCGGAAAGGUCAACUGAUACUGUGCGACUAGAGUGCAGAAGGGGCAACUGGAAUUCUCGGUGUAGCGGUGAAAUGCGUAGAUAUCGAGAGGAACACCUGCGGCGAAGGCGGGUUGCUGGGCUGACACUGACGCUGAUGCGCGAAAGCCAGGGGAGCGAACGGG